CCCGCUGAACUUAAGCAUAUCAUUAAGCGGAGGAAAAGAAACUAACAAGGAUUCCCCUAGUAACUGCGAGUGAAGCGGGAAGAGCUCAAAUUUGAAAUCUGGCAGCUUUGCUGUCCGAGUUGUAAUCUGUAGAAGUGUUUUCUGCAUUGGACCGUGUACAAGUCUCUUGGAACAGAGCGUCAUAGAGGGUGAGAAUCCCGUUCAUGACAUGGACUACCAAUGCUUUGUGAUACACUCUCAAAGAGUCGAGUUGUUUGGGAAUGCAGCUCAAAAUGGGUGGUAAAUUCCAUCUAAAGCUAAAUACAAGCAAGAGACCGAUAGUGAACAAGUACCGUGAGGGAAAGAUGAAAAGCACUUUGGAAAGAGAGUUAAACAGUAUGUGAAAUUGUUGAAAGGGAAACACUUGAAGUCAGUCACAUUCUGCAGGACUCAGCCUUGUCCUUAGGGACUUGGUGUAUUUCCUGCAGAAUGGGUCAACGUCAAUCUUGGUCAGUGGAUAAAGGAGGAGGGAAUGUGGCACCUUUACAGGUGUGUUAUAGACCUCUUUCAUAUACACUGGCUGGGAUUGAGGACUGCAGCAUGCCCUCUGGGGCCAGGACUUUACCAUGUCUCAUGCUUAGGAUGUUGACAAAAUGGCUUUAAGUGACCCGUCUUGAAACACGG
RNAcentral lists this ribosomal RNA (663 nucleotides) under uncultured fungus. RNAcentral's name for it is "eukaryotic LSU rRNA". It matches the Rfam family "Eukaryotic large subunit ribosomal RNA", at positions 24 to 664 of the family's 3401-position model. Lineage: Eukaryota; Fungi. The record is from RNAcentral.